UACGUAGGGCGCAGGCGUUAAUCGGAAUCACUGGGCUUAAAGCGUGUGUAGGCGGAUCGUUAAGUACCUUGUGAAAUCCCACGGCUCACCCGUGGAACUGCUCGGUAUACUGGCGGUCUUGAGCCACUUAGGGGCUGUCGGAACAGACGGUGGAGCGGUGAAAUGCGUAGAUAUCUGGAGGAACACCGGUGGCGAAGGCGGCAUCCUGGACCGGUAUUGACGCUGAUGCGCGAAAGCCAGGGGAGCAAACGGG
RNAcentral lists this ribosomal RNA (253 nucleotides) under uncultured bacterium. RNAcentral's name for it is "partial 16S ribosomal RNA". It matches the Rfam family "Bacterial small subunit ribosomal RNA", at positions 524 to 776 of the family's 1533-position model. The record is from RNAcentral.